This 245-nucleotide ribosomal RNA is filed under the name Desmarestia confervoides. RNAcentral describes it as "nuclear rRNA". Lineage: Eukaryota; Phaeophyceae; Desmarestiales; Desmarestiaceae. The record is from RNAcentral. RNAcentral also lists the same sequence under 1 other name.
UACCGAAAGCGGCUGGCACCCGUCCACAACUGCCAACUCUCGGAUCCUCGGAUUCGUAGAACCCCGCGAAAGAAGUGCAUUAUGCGACGUUGGGCGAGAGGCGUCUCGCCGGUGCCCCUCCCUCCCUUCGGGGUAAGAGUGGUUCCGAAUCAAAGCGUACACCCCAUUUUCAACCCCACUAAACUCUGAAUCUGAACUUGAAAGGGAGGCUGGCCUUACGCASUCAACCAUAUAACGUUGUAAAA